RNAcentral lists this transfer RNA (67 nucleotides) under Marmota monax (woodchuck). It matches the Rfam family "tRNA". Rfam says of the family: Transfer RNA (tRNA) molecules are approximately 80 nucleotides in length. Their secondary structure includes four short double-helical elements and three loops (D, anti-codon, and T loops). Further hydrogen bonds mediate the characteristic L-shaped molecular structure. tRNAs have two regions of fundamental functional importance: the anti-codon, which is responsible for specific mRNA codon recognition, and the 3' end, to which the tRNAs corresponding amino acid is attached (by aminoacyl-tRNA synthetases). tRNAs cope with the degeneracy of the genetic code in two manners: having more than one tRNA (with a specific anti-codon) for a particular amino acid; and 'wobble' base-pairing, i.e. permitting non-standard base-pairing at the 3rd anti-codon position. The record is from Rfam by way of RNAcentral. Lineage: Eukaryota; Metazoa; Chordata; Mammalia; Rodentia; Sciuridae.
GGUUAUGGCUCAGAGGUAGAGCGCUUGCCUAGCAUGCAUGAGGCACUGGGUUCAAUCCUCAGCACCA